UCCCGGUUGGCCCGGGCAGUCUCGCCUGAAAUUACAACAGACGAUAAGGGUUGCGCUCGUUGCGGGACUUAACCCAACAUCUCACGACACGAGCUGACGACGGCCAUGCAACACCUGUCACUGCGUUCCCGAAGGCACUCCACUGUUUCUAGCGGAUUCGCAGGAUGUCAAGCCUUGGUAAGGUUCUUCGCGUAGCAUCGAAUUAAACCACAUCAUCCACCGCUUGUGCGGGUCCCCGUCAAUUCCUUUGAGUUUUAAGCUUGCGCUCGUACUCCCCAGGCGGGAUGCUUAACGCGUUAGCUUCGCAGCCCAAGGGGUCGAUACCUCGAACUACUAGCAUCCAUCGUUUACGGCGUGGACUAC
Molecule: unclassified non-coding RNA, 363 nt
Filed under: uncultured bacterium
Lineage: Bacteria
Description: contains 16S-23S intergenic spacer region
Source: RNAcentral